GUACUGCUGAAGAGUCCCAAACUAGGACGAACAAGCUGUCCAGUAC
Molecule: non-coding RNA, 46 nt
Filed under: Trichobilharzia regenti
Lineage: Eukaryota; Metazoa; Platyhelminthes; Trematoda; Strigeidida; Schistosomatidae
Source: RNAcentral